This 1385-nucleotide ribosomal RNA is filed under the name uncultured bacterium. RNAcentral's name for it is "16S ribosomal RNA". It matches the Rfam family "Bacterial small subunit ribosomal RNA". The record is from RNAcentral.
AGAGUUUGAUCCUGGCUCAGGAUGAACGCUGGCGGCAUGCCUAAUACAUGCAAGUCGAACGAGGGUCCUUCGGGACUCGAGUGGCGAACGGGUGAGUAACACGUAGGGAACCUGCCCGUGCGACCGGGAGAACUUUCGGAAACGGAAGCUGAUACCGGAUAGGGACAGAGACGGCAUCGACUCUGUGUUAAAGGAGCUGAAAGGCUCCGCGCACGGAUGGACCUGCGGUGCAUUAGCUGGUUGGUGAGGUAACGGCCCACCAAGGCGACGAUGCAUAGCCGGCCUGAGAGGGCGGACGGCCACACUGGGACUGAGACACGGCCCAGACUCCUACGGGAGGCAGCAGUAGGGAAUUUUCGUCAAUGGGCGCAAGCCUGAACGAGCAAUGCCGCGUGAACGAGGAAGGUCUUCGGAUCGUAAAGUUCUGUUGAAGGGGAAAAAGAGCGGAGAGAGGAAAUGGUCUCCGAUUGAUAUUACCCUUCGAGGAAGUCACGGCUAACUACGUGCCAGCAGCCGCGGUAAUACGUAGGUGGCGAGCGUUAUCCGGAAUGAUUGGGCGUAAAGGGUGCGUAGGCGGCCUGCUAAGUCUGGAGUGAAAGGUACCGGCUCAACCGGUACAGGCUCUGGAAACUGGCGGGCUAGAGAGCAGGAGAGGGCGGUGGAACUCCAUGUGUAGCGGUAAAAUGCGUAGAUAUAUGGAAGAACACCAGUGGCGAAGGCGGCCGCCUGGCCUGUUACUGACGCUGAGGCACGAAAGCGUGGGGAGCAAAUAGGAUUAGAUACCCUAGUAGUCCACGCCGUAAACGAUGAGGACCAAGUGUUGGGGAAGACCCAGUGCUGCAGUUAACGCAGUGAGUCCUCCGCCUGGGGAGUAUGCACGCAAGUGUGAAACUCAAAGGAAUUGACGGGGGCCCGCACAAGCGGUGGAGUAUGUGGUUUAAUUCGAAGCAACGCGAAGAACCUUACCAGGCCUUGACAUAGGGUGCGAAGCUAUGGAGACAUAGUGGAGGUAAACAUCCAUACAGGUGGUGCAUGGUUGUCGUCAGCUCGUGUCGUGAGAUGUUCAGUUAAGUCUGGCAACGAGCGCAACCCUCGUGAUGUGUUACCAAUAUCGAGUUAGGGACUCACAUCAGACUGCCGGUGAGAAACCGGAGGAAGGCGGGGAGGACGUCAAAUCAUCAUGCCCCUUAUGGCCUGGGCUACACACGUACUACAAUGGCGGCGACAGAGGGCAGCGAGCCUGCGAAGGCAAGCGAAUCCCCAAAAAGCCGUCCCAGUUCGGAUUGGAGUCUGCAACCCGACUCCAUGAAGUUGGAAUCGCUAGUAAUCGCGGAUCAGCAUGCCGCGGUGAAUACGUUCUCGGGCCUUGCACACACCGCCCGUCA